GAUCCUGGCUCAGGAUGAACGCUGGCGGCGUGCUUAACACAUGCAAGUCGAACGGGAAACCUUUUAUUGAAGCUUCGGCAGAUUUAGCUGGUUUCUAGUGGCGGACGGGUGAGUAACGCGUGGGUAACUUGCCCUAUACAGGGGGAUAACAACCAGAAAUGGUUGCUAAUACCGCAUAAGCGCACAGGACCGCAUGGUCCGGUGUGAAAAACUCCGGUGGUAUAGGAUGGACCCGCGUUGGAUUAGCCAGUUGGCG
This 256-nucleotide ribosomal RNA is filed under the name uncultured bacterium. RNAcentral describes it as "partial 16S ribosomal RNA". It matches the Rfam family "Bacterial small subunit ribosomal RNA", at positions 15 to 254 of the family's 1533-position model. The record is from RNAcentral.